RNAcentral lists this signal recognition particle RNA (265 nucleotides) under Tissierellia bacterium. Its description in RNAcentral is "signal recognition particle sRNA large type". It matches the Rfam family "Bacterial large signal recognition particle RNA". From Rfam's summary of the family: The signal recognition particle (SRP) is a universally conserved ribonucleoprotein involved in the co-translational targeting of proteins to membranes. The record is from RNAcentral. Lineage: Bacteria; Bacillati; Bacillota; Tissierellia.
CCGCACUAGAUGGGGACAUAGCGGAGCCUUGUAACUUGCAAACCGCUACAGCAAGAUUGAAUACCCUUUGGAGGCUGACUCGUUGUGGGGCCUGCCGUAAAUAAGUAGCGUUGAAGAAUUGGUCCUGCGCAAUAGCGCAUCAUGAACCGUGUCAGGUCCGGGAGGAAGCAGCACUAAGUGAUUCCCGCUGUGUGCCGCAGGGGUGCCGGUUUGGAGCCAACUGUUUAUGUACCGCCUAUGAUUGGCAGUCGAAUAAGGGGUGCGG